GGUCCCAUAGCUCAGUUGGUUAGAGCGUCGUACUAAUAUCGCAAUAUUCGCCAUAUCAAGUAAUGCGAAGGCCGAGAGUUCGAGCCUCUCUGGGACCA
Molecule: transfer RNA, 98 nt
Filed under: Hypoxylon crocopeplum
Lineage: Eukaryota; Fungi; Ascomycota; Sordariomycetes; Xylariales; Hypoxylaceae
Description: tRNA-Ile
Rfam family: tRNA
About the family: Transfer RNA (tRNA) molecules are approximately 80 nucleotides in length. Their secondary structure includes four short double-helical elements and three loops (D, anti-codon, and T loops). Further hydrogen bonds mediate the characteristic L-shaped molecular structure. tRNAs have two regions of fundamental functional importance: the anti-codon, which is responsible for specific mRNA codon recognition, and the 3' end, to which the tRNAs corresponding amino acid is attached (by aminoacyl-tRNA synthetases). tRNAs cope with the degeneracy of the genetic code in two manners: having more than one tRNA (with a specific anti-codon) for a particular amino acid; and 'wobble' base-pairing, i.e. permitting non-standard base-pairing at the 3rd anti-codon position.
Source: RNAcentral